UACAGAGGGUGCGAGCGUUAAUCGGAAUUACUGGGCGUAAAGCGCACGUAGGUGGCGACGUAAGUCGGGUGUGAAAGCCCCGGGCUCAACCUGGGAAUUGCAUUCGAGACUGCAUUGCUGGAGUACGGAAGAGGAGGGCGGAAUUCCCGGUGUAGCGGUGAAAUGUGUAGAGAUCGGGAGGAACACCGGUGGCGAAGGCGGGUCUCUGGGCAUCUCCUGACGCUGAGGCGCGAAAGCGUGGGGAGCAAACGGG
This 253-nucleotide ribosomal RNA is filed under the name uncultured bacterium. RNAcentral describes it as "partial 16S ribosomal RNA". It matches the Rfam family "Bacterial small subunit ribosomal RNA", at positions 524 to 776 of the family's 1533-position model. The record is from RNAcentral.